UCACUGAGCAUGUCUUUGUGAGGAUACGAUUGCUACUGUUCUAACUCAUUUUUUAAAGGUCUGUUUUGUGUUGUUUCAAGCAGAACAGUGCUGCACAACUGCGUGUCUGUCCUCAGUGAGUGUACACUGAAAUAACAACAGGUUUUUUCAAGGUGUCCACCAUCUCCCCGCAAAAACAGACAGUAAAAAAUCGAUCCAAGUCCACAGAGGAGGUACAGCAAGCCAAAAAGGCCUUUCAUACACCACAAAAAUCUCUACCGGCUAAACCAGAAACCGAACAACUAGAGGAAACCUCAGAACUGAGUGCCUCAUCAGAGGAGUUCAAAUGAUUGCUCGAUUCAAACUUCGGGGCUUUGAGAUUUAGACAGAUGAGCUGGAAUUAUGGGUAAUCACAAGAGGAUGAUUCAGUGUCUCUGUUUAUAAAAUUGUGAAGUUUUAAUUAGUUUAGUUAGCAUAGAAGAAAACAAUAAUCAUGUAGCUUCUUGAAUUUGUAUGAGUCUGAUAAUGUUUGUGAAAUAAAUGCACAACUGGAUAUCA
Long non-coding RNA from Cyprinus carpio (common carp), 537 nucleotides. NCBI's taxonomy places the organism in Eukaryota, Metazoa, Chordata, Actinopteri, Cypriniformes, Cyprinidae. The record is from Ensembl.